Molecule: ribosomal RNA, 993 nt
Filed under: Vibrio sp.
Lineage: Bacteria; Pseudomonadati; Pseudomonadota; Gammaproteobacteria; Vibrionales; Vibrionaceae
Description: bacterial SSU rRNA
Rfam family: Bacterial small subunit ribosomal RNA
Source: RNAcentral
UGCAAGUCGAGCGGAAACGAGUUAUCUGAACCUUCGGGGAACGAUAACGGCGUCGAGCGGCGGACGGGUGAGUAAUGCCUAGGAAAUUGCCUUGAUGUGGGGGAUAACCAUUGGAAACGAUGGCUAAUACCGCAUAAUGCCUACGGGCCAAAGAGGGGGACCUUCGGGCCUCUCGCGUCAAGAUAUGCCUAGGUGGGAUUAGCUAGUUGGUGAGGUAAUGGCUCACCAAGGCGACGAUCCCUAGCUGGUCUGAGAGGAUGAUCAGCCACACUGGAACUGAGACACGGUCCAGACUCCUACGGGAGGCAGCAGUGGGGAAUAUUGCACAAUGGGCGCAAGCCUGAUGCAGCCAUGCCGCGUGUAUGAAGAAGGCCUUCGGGUUGUAAAGUACUUUCAGCAGUGAGGAAGGGGGUGUCGUUAAUAGCGGCAUCUCUUGACGUUAGCUGCAGAAGAAGCACCGGCUAACUCCGUGCCAGCAGCCGCGGUAAUACGGAGGGUGCGAGCGUUAAUCGGAAUUACUGGGCGUAAAGCGCAUGCAGGUGGUUUGUUAAGUCAGAUGUGAAAGCCCGGGGCUCAACCUCGGAACUGCAUUUGAAACUGGCAAACUAAAGUACUGUAGAGGGGGGUAGAAUUUCAGGUGUAACGGUGAAAUGCGUANAGAUCUGAAGGAAUACCAAUGGCGAAUGCGGCCCCCUGGACAGAUACUGACACUCAGAUGCGAAAGCGUGGGGAGCAAACACGAUUAGAUACCCUGGUAAUCCACGCCGUAUACGAUGUCUACUUGGAGGUUGUGGCCUUGAGCCGUGACUUUCGUAUGUAACGCGUUAAUGAGACCGCCUGGGUAGUACGGUCGCUUUAUUAUCACUCAUAUGAAUUGACCUGGGCGCGCUUUACCCGUGGAGCAUGUGAUUUAAGUCCAUGCCCCCCGUAUAACCUUACCUGCUCGUGACGGUCCUGAGCACGUGCCUUCAUCUGCAUCUGAAUGCCUUCGAG